This 72-nucleotide transfer RNA is filed under the name Bos taurus (domestic cattle). It matches the Rfam family "tRNA". Rfam says of the family: Transfer RNA (tRNA) molecules are approximately 80 nucleotides in length. Their secondary structure includes four short double-helical elements and three loops (D, anti-codon, and T loops). RNAcentral also lists the same sequence under 5 other names. Lineage: Eukaryota; Metazoa; Chordata; Mammalia; Artiodactyla; Bovidae. The record is from Rfam by way of RNAcentral.
UCCCUGGUGGCUUAGUCGGUAGAGAAUUCGCCUGCAAUGUGGGAGACCUGGGUUCAGUCCCUGGCUUGGGAA